GACGUAGGGCGCGAGCGUUGUCCGGAUUUAUUGGGCGUAAAGAGCGUGUAGGCGGCCUGAAAGGUCAGCUGUGAAAACUCGAGGCUCAACCUCGAGACGUCGGUUGAAACCAUCUGGCUAGAGUCCGGAAGAGGAGAGUGGAAUUCCCGGUGUAGCGGUGAAAUGCGCAGAUAUCGGGAAGAACACCCGUGGCGAAGGCGGCUCUCUGGGACGGUACUGACGCUGAGACGCGAAAGCGUGGGGAGCGAACAGG
This 253-nucleotide ribosomal RNA is filed under the name uncultured bacterium. RNAcentral's name for it is "partial 16S ribosomal RNA". It matches the Rfam family "Bacterial small subunit ribosomal RNA", at positions 524 to 776 of the family's 1533-position model. The record is from RNAcentral.